RNAcentral lists this transfer RNA (67 nucleotides) under Thallomys paedulcus (Acacia rat). RNAcentral's name for it is "tRNA-Thr". The record is from RNAcentral. Lineage: Eukaryota; Metazoa; Chordata; Mammalia; Rodentia; Muridae.
AUCUUGAUAGUAUAAACAAUACUUUGGUCUUGUAAACCAAAAAUGAGGUAGUACGCCUCUCAAGAUA